RNAcentral lists this ribosomal RNA (120 nucleotides) under Erinaceus europaeus (western European hedgehog). Lineage: Eukaryota; Metazoa; Chordata; Mammalia; Eulipotyphla; Erinaceidae. The record is from RNAcentral.
GUCUACGGCCAUACCACCCUGAACACGCCCGAUCUCGUCUGAUCUCGGAAGCUAAGCAGGGUCGGGCCUCGUUAGUACUUGGAUGGGAGACAGUGUAGUGAGUAUCAGACACCUGAGAAG